GGCCUGUGCUAUGCUGCUGCGUCCGUCUCUGCUACACUUGUCUCUCUGUCCGUCGGAAUGGCAAUCGGAACGGCAGCAGCGGCGGCGGUGCGGCGCAGCCUCGGCGCCGCAGUCCCGGACCUCGCCGUCGCCCACCUCUGCUGCCCCUCGACCCCCGUCACCUACAACGCAGCCCACCUCCCGCCCACGCCGGCCACCCUCCUCGCCCUCCUCCGCCGCGCGCCCGCGCCCGCGCCGCACCCCACCACCGCCGUGCACGCCUGCCUCCUCAAGACGGCCUACUUCCGCCCGGGGGGCUGCACCGUCCCCAACUCGCUGCUCGCCUCCUACGCAACAUCCGGCGACUCCCUUGCCGCGGCGAAGCUGUUCGACGAAAUGCCUCUUAGGGACGUCGCGUCCUGGACCUCCAUGAUGCGGGCACACCUCGCGGGGGGCUCGGCGUCCCAGGCCCUGUGCAUGUUCAGGGACAUGCUCGCUGGCGGCGACGACGCACCGGAGCCGGACGGGGUCGUCCUCGUCGUCGCGCUCCGCGCCUGCGCCGAGCUCGAGGACCUGGCGCUCGGGGCCUCCCUGCACGCCCUCAUGGAGCGCCGUGGGCUGCAGGGCUGCGAUGUCUUCGUCGCCAACUCGCUCGUCGACAUGUACGCCAGGUGCCUGGACCUGCAGUCCGCCAAGAAGGUGUUCGACAUGACCCCGAGCAGGAACGUGGUGUCCUGGAACACCAUCCUCUCUGGACUCGCGCGCACCGGCCGUGCCACCGACGCGCUAGACCUUCUUGCCUCCUCCUCGUCCUUGCUGAAAGAGGGCAGCGACAUCGGCUUCGAUGAGACGACGUUGGUGGUGCUGCUUCAGCUGUGCAAGAGGCUCGAGGGCGGCCAGGCCAUGUGGUGCCGGUCUGUCCAUGCCGCGGCCGUGAGGAGGGGGCUCCUAUUGUCCUCGACAGGCCUGCCUCUGUUGAACGCCCUGCUGGACGCAUACGCCAAGUGCGGCCUGCUUGAGCACACGGUCAGGCUGUUCCGCGGCAUGCCUGAGAGGAACAUCGUCACGUGGAGCACCGUCAUCGCUGGAUGCGUCCACAACGGCCGGCCUGGCGAGGCGAUCGCGUGCGCCGUCGUGAUGAGGGAGGCCGGGGAGACGCCCAACUCGGUCACCAUACUGAGCGUCCUCGAGGCAUGCACAGACUGUGCGGAGAUGGCAGCGUCGAGAUGCGCCCACGGCAUGGCGCUCAGGAGUGGGCUAGCCUUGGAGCGGGACGUCAGCAACGCUCUGGUGGACAUGUAUGGUAAAUGCGGCAACCUGGCUGCGGCGACGAGGGUGUUCAAUGCGAUGCCGCGAAGGGACGUGCUCACCUGGAACUCCAUGAUUGGCGCUCUGGGGAUGAAUGGCCGCGCACGUGAUGCCCUCGCCCUCCUCGACAGGAUGGAGCAGGAAUGGGACAUCAUGCCGAACGGUGUCACGAUGCUGGCCGUGCUGUCGGCAUGCGCGCACGGAGGUCUGGUAGAGGAGGGCGUGGCCUGCUUCGAGAGGAUGACGGCGACACACUCGGUUGAGCCACAGGUGGAGCACCUAUCGUGCGUCGUCGACAUGCUCGCGCGUGCAGGGGACCUUGAGGGGGCCGCUAGGGUCAUCGAGGAGAGGAUAUCCACCAGCAGCAGUCCAGCAGCCUGGAGUGCGCUGCUAAGCGCCUGCAGAGGCUACAGCAGCGACUCGAGUGUUGGACGUGAUGCUGCCUGCCGCGUCCUGGAGUUGGAGCCGGGCAAUGCGGCGGGGUACCUGAUGUCGAUGGGCGUGCCCGGCGCUGGCGAGACGGCAGCGCGGAUGCGACAGCUGAUGAGGGAGAGGGGAGUAGGGGUGACUGGCGGACACAGCAUAGUGCAGGUGGGGUGCAAUGCUCACAGCUUCAUGUCAUGGGAUGGAUGCCACCCUGACAGAGGGCGGGUUUACUCCAUGCUACAUCUCCUGCAUCAACAGAUGCUGCCGCCUACUCCUCCACAUCCAAACCACCAUCAUCUUACCUUAUUAUCACACAAGUGUCAUGAUUAAGAUGAUUGAUAUGGGUGGGUACGCAUAUGGAAGGAAAUGCAGGAUUGCAUUUCAUUUCUUCUGUGGUAAUACUGGAGACGCCAAAGGUCAAAACAAGAUGACAUUUUUUGAAACCGAUGAUGCUGUGUUUACAUCGUUCGCCAUUGCCAUCCGCAGGUUCGCCACCGGCUCCAUGAGAUACUGCGGAAUGGGUUGGAAGGCGGAGUGAUCUCCGUCUUGCCCUCGAGCAUCUUCAGUUCUUGACCACCACGCUCAUUGACGGCCUCGGCUGCACGCACUAGAACACCACCUUGCACAUCCUCUCCACCAGCCCUCUGCAACGCGAUUCAUGGCGGACUGUUGCCACCAUGAGUUCCAUCAGCUCGCCAGCUUCGUACCUGGUCCAUGCGACCAUGAGGAACCAUUGCUGGCUGCUCUUCGGCAUGGCAUCGACAUCUUGGUUACUACCAUGCUUGACGAUCUUCAGGAGGAGCAUGCCGAAGCUGUAGACAUCACACUUCUCGGUGAUCCAAACCUCCAGUGCGGUGUGCCCAAAAGUGCUGCGUUCGCGGGACAGAGACGUGCGUGUCGCAACGGUUGACGAGGCUUGCGAGGCCAAAGUCGGCCACCUUGGGGCUUGGGCCUGAGGGUGCCGUCGAGGAGGUAUCUUGCUGUUGCUAACUUGAAUGGAUUUGUCAUUUUUGAAUAGCCUAACUUGUUCUUCCAAGGAUGGAUGAGUAAUAGAAAUAUCGCGAGUGUCAUUACUGGUGGCAAUCAGUUGGUCUGCGUUUUUGAGGGGGUGCUGGUGGAUACAAAAAUGCUUCUCCUGGGUCCUGGCAACUACGGUGGCGAUAGCCUGAAUCAAGGGGGUGGAGCACCUGCUAAGUGAUCUCAACCUUGAUGGUGCUUGCAAGGAGGAUGCUCUUUGCAAGGAGGUUUGAUGCGAGCACGAAGAGAAGCGAUGGUCACGAUGGCUUUCUUGGGGACGACUUCCAGGAUGAAGAUGACCAUGUCAGUCCCGUUAGAAGAAGCAGCACCGGCCGAAUAACUCUUAUGGAUUUGUUCUCCAUGACCACAUUGAUUUGCAUCAGCUGCUUGUUAUAUACUACUACUACUUGCUCUGUAAAUAGAUGUACUACGAAUAAGGGGGUUCGAUCGAGGGAGAACACAAUGCCAAAAGGUCAGCAGGGUUUACCCAAA
This is an RNA transcript of Triticum aestivum (bread wheat), 3222 nucleotides long. It is a transcript of the gene named pentatricopeptide repeat-containing protein At2g17210, with no coding region annotated. The record is from RefSeq and is a predicted model, not a curated record. The transcript has 3 exons. NCBI's taxonomy places the organism in Eukaryota, Viridiplantae, Streptophyta, Magnoliopsida, Poales, Poaceae.